Molecule: ribosomal RNA, 459 nt
Filed under: uncultured bacterium
Lineage: Bacteria
Description: partial 16S ribosomal RNA
Rfam family: Bacterial small subunit ribosomal RNA
Source: RNAcentral
CCUACGGGAGGCAUCAGUGAGGAAUAUUGGUCAAUGGGCGGGAGCCUGAACCAGCCAAGCCGCGUGAGGGAAGAAGGUACAGCGUAUCGUAAACCUCUUUUGUCAGGGAACAAAGGCGGGGACUAGUCCCCGGAUGCGGGUACCUGAAGAAAAAGCAUCGGCUAACUCCGUGCCAGCAGCCGCGGUAAUACGGAGGCUCCGGGCGUUAUCCGGUUUUAUUGGGUUUAAAGGGUGCGCAGGCGGCCUGUUAAGUCAGCGGUAAAAGCGCGGGGCUCACCCCCGGCGAGCCGUUGAAACUGGCAGGCUUGAGUUGGAGAGAAGUACGCGGAAUGCGCGGUGUAGCGGUGAAAUGCUUAGAUAUCGCGCAGAACCCCGAUUGCGAAGGCAGCGUGCCGGCUCCACACUGACGCUGAGGCACGAAAGCGUGGGUAUCGAACAGGAUUAGAUACCCGGGUAGUC